Molecule: long non-coding RNA, 800 nt
Organism: Oncorhynchus masou masou (cherry salmon)
Lineage: Eukaryota; Metazoa; Chordata; Actinopteri; Salmoniformes; Salmonidae
Exons: 3
Source: RefSeq, a predicted model, not a curated record
CUCAGCCCAGCCACAACAACAUAAGGACUGAGGGUGAUAGUGGCAGUGGGGGCUGUUUGAGUGAUAGAGACAGAGAGAUUGGGGCAGAUUAAAAGAGAAAGAGAGGGAAAGAGAAAUGGAGAGGGAGAGAAAGAGGGGCGCUUUCACAGUUGCGACAUGAAUCGGCCUGCUGCUGUGGUUGCAGCAGGCGGCGGUGCGGCCUACCCCCCCGAAACCCGUCGCCAAGACCUCACAAGUGACAUGGACCUGGGCCCGCGCGGGGCUCCAUUCACUGACCCUAGCAGCUGAUAGGAGGCAAAAAAAACCUGACUUGGUGCAAACCAAUGUCAAAGGAGGUGACACAGAGCAACAAGAUACCCAACAACCUAACCGUCUAGGACAGCAGCUCAGCCAGAGAAAGCUGGCUAGGAAACACAAGGCAAGCGACCAAAGCCCCCCAAAAAAGAAGAGUACCCAAGAAAAAAAGACCUGAAAAAAGAGGACCUGAGCCCUAGGACCAUGCCUCAGGACGACCUGGCCUGAUGACUCCUUGCUGUCCCCAGUCCACCUGGCUGUGGUGCUGCUCCAGUUUCAACUGUUCUGCCUGCAGCUAUGGAACCCUGACCUGUUCCCCGGACGUUUGGGCUUUAAGGCUGGGUUUGUGUACAGCGCUUUGUGACAUCAGCUGAUGUAAGAAGGGCUUUAUAAAUACAUUUGAUUGAUUGAUUGAUUGAUUAUUGAUGUGACUAAAAUUAACGGGAAUUUAGUUGACUAAAAUGGCUCUGUGUUUUCAUAAUUUUGACAAUAACUAUACUAAAUCA